GCCCUCGUAGCCCAAUUGGAAGUGGCGGGACCCUUAAAAUGUCUGUCAGUUGUGGGUUCGACUCCCUCCGGGGGCACCA
RNAcentral lists this transfer RNA (79 nucleotides) under compost metagenome. Its description in RNAcentral is "tRNA-Leu". It matches the Rfam family "tRNA". Rfam says of the family: Transfer RNA (tRNA) molecules are approximately 80 nucleotides in length. Their secondary structure includes four short double-helical elements and three loops (D, anti-codon, and T loops). Further hydrogen bonds mediate the characteristic L-shaped molecular structure. tRNAs have two regions of fundamental functional importance: the anti-codon, which is responsible for specific mRNA codon recognition, and the 3' end, to which the tRNAs corresponding amino acid is attached (by aminoacyl-tRNA synthetases). tRNAs cope with the degeneracy of the genetic code in two manners: having more than one tRNA (with a specific anti-codon) for a particular amino acid; and 'wobble' base-pairing, i.e. permitting non-standard base-pairing at the 3rd anti-codon position. The record is from RNAcentral.